Molecule: ribosomal RNA, 467 nt
Filed under: uncultured bacterium
Lineage: Bacteria
Description: bacterial SSU rRNA
Rfam family: Bacterial small subunit ribosomal RNA
Source: RNAcentral
GGGCCCGCACAAGCGGAGGAACAUGUGGUUUAAUUCGAUGAUACGCGAGGAACCUUACCCGGGCUUGAAUUGCUGAUAACGGCAUUUGGAGACAGAUGCUUCCCUUCGGGGUAUCAGUGAAGGUGCUGCAUGGUUGUCGUCAGCUCGUGCCGUAAGGUGUCGGCUUAAGUGCCAUAACGAGCGCAACCCUUGCCGUUAGUUGCCAUCAGGUUAAGCUGGGCACUCUAGUGGGACUGCCAUCGUAAGAUGUGAGGAAGGUGGGGAUGACGUCAAAUCAGCACGGCCCUUAUGUCCGGGGCGACACACGUGUUACAAUGGUAGGUACAGCGGGAAGCUACCUGGCGACAGGAUGCAGAUCCCGAAAUCCUAUCUCAGUUCGGAUUGGAGUCUGGAACUCGACUCCAUGAAGCUGGAUUCGCUAGUAAUCGCGCAUCAGCCAUGGCGCGGUGAAUACGUUCCCGGGCCUU